This is a long non-coding RNA of Oreochromis aureus, 404 nucleotides long. RefSeq lists it as uncharacterized. Lineage: Eukaryota; Metazoa; Chordata; Actinopteri; Cichliformes; Cichlidae. The record is from RefSeq and is a predicted model, not a curated record. The transcript has 3 exons.
UGUGUGCGUUCGUGUGUGUGUGCGCUGCGUAGUGACGUAGGCGCGUGCAUGUGUGCCCCGGUCACAGCUCCUUUCAGCAUGGCCGGAGGAGAGGUGUACUGGCAGACGCAUGACACACACAGAUCAGACUAUUUCUGUGUUGCAGAGCUUAAGUUAAUGUUUUAAAACAAUUUGUUGUAUUUGAUUUAUUAUAUUAUUGUAGUGUUAAUGAAGCUGCAGUCACAGCUCCUUUCAGCAUGGCCGGAGGAGAGGUGUACUGGGAGACGCAUGACACACACAGAUCAGACUAUUUCUGUGUUGCAGAUGUGCAGUAAAGAGCCAAAGAUCCAGUACUGUCUCCUGCCUCUUACUUUCACGCCAGAACACAACGCAACAACAACAGGCGUAACACUUGAACGGGUUAC